CGGUGCCGGUGGCAGAAACGAGGACAGGGCGCUGCCAGAGAGCCGGCUCCAGCAUUUAUGGCGUGCGGGCACUCGGUCGGUGGAGACAUGGAUCGAGGACCCCUCCGCGGGUGGGUCCGACAGCGUGGGGGUGAACAGGAGCUUUUGGCAGAACCUCCAGGCUCAGCCCCUUUGCCCGCUGCCUUUUUGUGAGCCACCCAACAGCACCAAAUUCCCCGAAGCCAGGGACAGCUCCAGGUAGCUCAGCACCAAGUCCAGGCAGGUGGAUGCUAUUUAAAGUCCCACUUGUUCUGCCAAAAUGAGCUUCGUGCGAAAUCAAGACAGGAUGGAGCCCGUUUUCAGCAGGACCUCGCUUGUCUCCCACAGACACUCUCUAUAGAGAAUAUGCCACUUCAGAGCGGAGACAUUGAUUUAAUGCCUUGGGCUUGUACACAGAAAAUAUCAAUCGACCGCCAGCGAUAAGGCAGCAGGUCUCACAUAUCAGCUGAGGAGCACAGACCGUGUGUAAUGGAAAUAUUCGGGGCGUGGGCAGUAAAAGGUUUUAAGCGGACCAACGCGGCUCCAAACCUCUCAGAGAUAAGAAGCGGAGCCUGUCACGGAUAUAACGUGUGCCCCGCCGCCACCCAGGCCAUAUUCUUUCCUUUUCUUGGUGCGGGCACAUGGUGGCCGAGGCGGGCAGUGACCCCCUGACACAGCAGGGAUGCGGGUCGUCGCAAAAAGCAGGGUGUAGAGUAAGACUUGGAAUUCAACAUGGGGAAGAAACGUCCUCUGCUUUCUGCCCCGCUCCAAGCUGCCCGGCCUUAAUCCCGUGCUUACGAAGACGCCGGUGCAAAACCAGGGUGGAAGUGGGCUCCAUAAAAAAGAAGGAGAAUCCCCUCCCGCCCCAUAGAUGUUCAGAGGGGAGCUUACGAGCGUCUCCUUCCAGCCGGACCGGUGUCUCCGCCCGGGGGGGAGCAGCCGAGGGGUACGGGGUUUUUUGCCUUGCCAGAGCUCAGCCCUAGGCCACAGGCAAAGCGGGGAGCCGGCGGGCUGUAGCCUCUGGCCGCUGCUGCAAUUUAUAGGGGAACUGCGCCUUUUCCUGCCCGGCAAUUAUCUCCAACCGGCCACGUGCGAGGGAGCGAAAACGGCUCAUUCAGGGUCAUUAAAGCCAAGCGGGGAGCCGGUCGGGGUGGCGGGGGAUCUCUCCGUGAAGACUCCGGAGGAGCUGGGGCGCCGAUGGAGCCCCCGGGCUGCGGCAGGGGCCGGCAGCGCCGGGGGGGUGGGCAGGCGGGCGGGCGGCCGGAGGGGAUCCCGGCCCCGGGCACCUCCGCACGGCCCCUGCUCUCCGCAGGGGAGACAAGUGGAAAUACACACAACACACAAUGACCAGGCGAAAAUCACAUCACAAUAGUGCACAGAGUGACUGAGGUCUUUUCAGCGGGAGAAAAAAAUUAGGGAAGAGUGGAAAAUGGGAGGCGAUAAGAAGAAAACCUGCCUUUGUUCUCUCUGGUUAUUUUCUACUAAUUAUUCUGCCCAUUGUGACAAAGUAGCAGUUAAGGAUAGAUUAGUGUAAAUAACCUCACAUUUCACUCCCGAACCGCGCAACUUUCUGGCCCAAGCCGUGCCAUGGUGUUUGUGUUUCUCCCCUUCACCUCAAACAGAAACUCAUUGAGAUUUCAGAUCUUUGAACUUUGGACAGAUCAAACUGCCAGCGCUCACCUUUCUCUCCACUCAUUAGGAUUUAAAACAUAUGUAACCUCAUGACGGGAUCCAUUUGUCUCUAUGAGGGGAAAAAAAUGCAGUCUCCUCUCUUCCCCCCACCCCAAAACUCCUACAUUUAGCUGAAAUCAUUGAAACGAUCAUUUCCCAGAAUGGCGCCUCUGCUGCGGGAGCACUGCUCGGAUGGGUUUUGCCCAGCCGGGUUGUUUUAGGGGAAGCUCCUCGCCGGUUUCCGUCGUCAUUUUGUCACUCCCGAUUUAUUAUUGGCAAUCUAAUUUUCCUACCAAAGGCUCCUACACCUGCUCGUUGUUCCAAGAGGGAGCUACUGGCAG
Oxyura jamaicensis (ruddy duck) is the source of this 2030-nucleotide long non-coding RNA. RefSeq lists it as uncharacterized. The transcript has 3 exons. The record is from RefSeq and is a predicted model, not a curated record. NCBI's taxonomy places the organism in Eukaryota, Metazoa, Chordata, Aves, Anseriformes, Anatidae.